UAAAAAUUAAAAAAAAAAAGCCUUAAAACCCUACACUAAUACUGUGUCAUUAAGAUAAAAUAAUAAAAGACGAAAGAACCUCCAUUUUUGUUUUCUAAGGCUUUGAGCAGGUCGGAUGCUGACUAGCAGGGUGACCCAAGAAUUGAAGCUCUUUUUUAUCAUAAAUCUCCAAAGAGAAAUCCCUAAGCAUCUGCGCGCUACCAGUAUUAGCACUAGCAGCACCAUUACAAGCACAAUUACCACCAGAACUAUUGGUUGUGCUCGUUCCUGAAUUCGAACUCAUUGACCCCAUUGGAGAAGAAGACCCACCCGAUCCCACUGAAUUCGAAACCCCAUCACCCAAUUGGAUCCCAGGUUGCAUGGCCGAAACAAAACUGGAUAUGGGCUUUGCCGCUACGUUAAAAAAUGGGGUCGCAGCAGCAGGUAUUGCCCACAAUUGAGGCUGAUUGUAAUUGGACCCACCACCAGAUAAACCAGCAGAUUGUGGCAACAUAAAAGUGCCCAUAGGCCACCAAGGCACUAACCCUUGCACACAAGCUCCCCCUAAAUUUGGUAAUAAUGCUGCUGCUGUUGUUAUCGGCGUAAUAGGAGCCAAACCUGAAGAUACAGAACUCUGGUGCUCAUUAACGUCGGUAAAAUCGCUAUUUGAAGGUCUCUUACGCCUCUUCCUCGACAGCAAGUCAUCGCCGUUGGGUCUUGCUGGGGAAGUAGUUGGGAUUUUGAGAGUUCCAUUAAUGGAAACUGCAAUAGCAGGGACGGUUCCGGUACCAGUAGCUUCAAUAAUAGCUGGUUCGGCGUGCUCCAAAAGCCACCGGAUGGUUUCGCCGUCUGACUUGUGGCCCAACUCUCGGGUUAGUUGGAAAAUCCUAGCCGCACAUGUGGCAGGCAUACGGAUCCUACGGCCACGCCCCUCCACCUUCGUAUGGCGAUCCUUGGAAGGUCUUUUGGCCGGAGUUAGUGCCCGAUUGUUUGACUGAGGUACCUGUAAGAGGCUAAUUGGGAGAGUGUUGUCGUUGUUGUUAUCAUCAUCAUCUAAUUCUUGGCCAUCUAUGUCUGUGAGUUCUUCUUCUUUAAGCUGAAUCGUGGAUUCAGGUCCGGCUUGGCCUUCGGGGUCCGGAGGUUCCACCAUAGAAGUCUCGGAAGAGGAGAAAUUCGGGUUUAUGCUUUGUUCUCGAUCGAUUUCUUCUAUUGUGUGGUAUUGAUUUGAGUCCAUGUUGGAGAGUAAGAAACUAUAACACAGGGCAAAUUCAGAGAAUUUUGAGAAAUAUACACAAACAAUUAAUUAAAAAAAAAAGAAAAGAAAAGAAGUUUGACAAAAUCAGGUUGACUGGGCUGGGGUUUUGAUUUUUUGCCGGGGAAAGAUUACAGACACGAGUACGGAAAAACAUAUAAUAUAAAAUUUAAAAGUAAAAGUAAU
RNAcentral lists this unclassified non-coding RNA (1417 nucleotides) under Hevea brasiliensis (rubber tree). The record is from RNAcentral. Lineage: Eukaryota; Viridiplantae; Streptophyta; Magnoliopsida; Malpighiales; Euphorbiaceae.